Molecule: ribosomal RNA, 487 nt
Filed under: uncultured bacterium
Lineage: Bacteria
Description: bacterial SSU rRNA
Rfam family: Bacterial small subunit ribosomal RNA
Source: RNAcentral
GAUGAACGCUAGCGGCAGGCCUAACACAUGCAAGUCGAGGGGUAACAUAGAAAAGCUUGCUUUUCUGAUGACGACCGGCGCACGGGUGCGUAACGCGUAUACAACCUACCUUUUAGCGGGGAAUAGCCCAGGGAAACUUGGAUUAAUGCCCCAUAGUAUAUAGACUUCUCCUGAAGUUUAUAUUAAACAUUUAUGGCUAUUAGAUGGGUAUGCGUCCUAUUAGUUAGUUGGUAAGGUAACGGCUUACCAAGGCAGCGAUAGGUAGGGGUCCUGAGAGGGAGAUCCCCACACUGGUACUGAGACACGGACCAGACUCCUACGGGAGGCAGCAGUGAGGAAUAUUGGACAAUGGGCGAGAGCCUGAUCCAGCCAUGCCGCGUGCAGGAAGACUGCCCUAUGGGUUGUAAACUGCUUUUACAGAGGAAGAACCACCCCCACGUGUGGGGGUUUGACGGUACUCUGCGAAUAAGGAUCGGCUAACUCUGUG